CCCAUUUAAUCAGCAUCAUUAAUAAACCACUAUUGAUAGCAUUCGAGGAAUCUUUAAUUCAAAACCUCAGAUUCAUUACUAAUUAGCACAUUCAAUUACUUAUGGAGCUCUUUAAAAUGAAAGAAAGGUAUUGCUGCAAAAAUAAAUUCCGUAUAGAUGUUGUGCCAUUGAAUCAAUUAGUUCCCCAGAAUUGCAAGUCUGACAAUCGAGACGUGAACUAGAACAAUAUGAACCAAGGAAAAUUGACACUCUAAAUCAAAUGAAAUAUACGGUACAGGCAUAUUUAAUUCAUUAGCAAUCUACUUUCAAAACUUCAAGUGAACGAAAAGCACUGAUCAAUGACUCAAAUUAGCUGGAACAUGAAAAAUUAACUGACUUAUGGAUUCCUCAAAGUUUGGAACUAAAGCAGGUGAAAUAAUUCAAACAGAACUAAACCAAUUUCAAACUCCUACUUUCAAAGACCCUUUUGGAAGGAGUCCAGUUACAUUCACCGAAGUCCUAGUUCAUUAAGUUUCAAAUGUUGCUAUUCUAAAAUGUAAUCCAAUUCAAACACUCAAAUCAGCCUUUCAUUUCAAAUAAAAAGCUUCGAUUACAAGUUUCCUUAGCUGGCCAUUGGAGAUUAAGCAAGUACCUGGCAAUUAAGCAAAGUAGAAGGAAGGAGGAGCCAGCAGUGAGCAGCCAACAAUUAGAAGUUAAAACCCAGCAGCAACAUAAGAGUAAGAUCAGUUUGAAAGCCAAAGUUGCAUCACUACAGCCCAGGAGCGAAUGACAGAUGAAGAAAACACCAGCGGAAACCAACCAGAUCCAAAUAGAUACUACCCAAAUCACUUGAAAAUUAACCGGGAUUUCUCCAAAUCACUGAGCCACCAAAACUUAAACAUGAAAAUGCAUUGCCAUUACUGAAAACUCCAAAAAUAGCCUACUAACUCAAUGGAACAGAGCUCUUUUUGAUUUCUUACUGUAUUUUUGUUCUUGUUUUUGGAUUUGAGCCAGUUUCUUUUUUUUUU
This 1007-nucleotide long non-coding RNA is filed under the name Nicotiana benthamiana. RNAcentral's name for it is "long non-coding RNA (NBEN_LNC002692)". Lineage: Eukaryota; Viridiplantae; Streptophyta; Magnoliopsida; Solanales; Solanaceae. The record is from RNAcentral.